CCUACGGGUGGCAGCAGUGAGGAAUAUUGGUCAAUGGCCGUAAGGCUGAACCAGCCAAGUCGCGUGAAGGAAGAAGGAUCUAUGGUUUGUAAACUUCUCUUAUCGGAGAAUACAGGUAUCCACGUGUGGAUAUUUCCAUGUACCCUAUGAAUACGCAUCGGCUAAUUCCGUGCCAGCGGCCGCGGUAAUACGGAGGAUGCGAGCGUUAUCCGGAUUUAUUGGGUUUAAAGGGUGCGUAGGUUGUUUUUUAAGUCAGAGGUGAAUGUUUGUGGCUAAACCAUAAAAUUGCCGUUGAAAAUGGAAGACUUGAGUGUGUUUGAGGUAGGGGGAAUGCGUGGGGUAGCGGUGAAAUGCAUAGAUAUCACGCAGAACUCCGAUUGCGAAGGCAGCUUACUAAGCCAUAACUGACACUGAAGCACGAAAGCGUGGGGAUCAAACAGGAUUAGAUACCCCUGUAGUC
This 460-nucleotide ribosomal RNA is filed under the name uncultured bacterium. RNAcentral's name for it is "partial 16S ribosomal RNA". It matches the Rfam family "Bacterial small subunit ribosomal RNA", at positions 338 to 795 of the family's 1533-position model. The record is from RNAcentral.